AAGCGGUGGAAAAACUAUGAGUUGCUCUCUUUUCCUGGACAAAGAACAGCUCCUUCAGAUUCUUAGCAAGAUAAAUUCACUGCCUUUGGGAAGAAUUCAGCCACCAAGGAAUAUUCAGUCAUUCGCACGGUCCUAUGGUCAUUUGUCUAAACCCCGACAACCAUUUUUCUGCCUUGGAAUUCUUUCACUUUUGGGAAAAGUGAAUCUCUAUUUCGUUGACGAUCUGCCCCUAUUUUCGUCUCCUCUGAUCAUCUUCGACGUGUCCAAUCAUCUAUGGUGUCUCCGAAGUCAUUUUUCAGCUCUGCCUUAUCGUCUACUACUCCGUUCUUAGAAAAGAAGCCUUAGUUAUGCUUUUCCCUUUUCCUUCUUCAACACCCGAAAGACGAACAACCAAAACCACUUCUCCUCCUUGAAAUUGAUGUUUUUCCUCGCCACUCCAUAAACAGCUCACUGAAUCUCUUUUCCUGAGACACACACAAGCACGCACUCACACCUCUUGGCUUCUCCUCAUCAGUCUCCAAACAGUUCAGACUUCAGAUCUUUGGAUGGUAAGUCUUCUACGCUUAUAGUUUCAGUUUAUAUAU
Molecule: long non-coding RNA, 584 nt
Organism: Humulus lupulus (European hop)
Lineage: Eukaryota; Viridiplantae; Streptophyta; Magnoliopsida; Rosales; Cannabaceae
Exons: 3
Source: RefSeq, a predicted model, not a curated record